GUCAAGAUGGCCGAGUGGUUAAGGCGCCAGAAUUAAGAAUUCUGGUCUUCAAAGAAGGCGUGGGUUCGAACCCCACUCUUGACA
Daphnia pulicaria is the source of this 84-nucleotide non-coding RNA. NCBI's taxonomy places the organism in Eukaryota, Metazoa, Arthropoda, Branchiopoda, Diplostraca, Daphniidae. The record is from the annotation of a RefSeq genome assembly.